CACCAUGAGAAGAGGAUGGCUGCAUCAAAGCUCCCAAACAACAGUUUCACUUUGAGUCAAGUUCUGGAUAUGUUUAAUCUAGGUGACCGCCCAGACAAGGCAUGCAACAUUGCGGUUAUCCCUCAAAAUGAGAAAGAUGCUGUCCUGAGUGGUUGUGAUAGCGAUGGGUCAGAUAUGGACUAUGGACAGGCCAUUUGCCAGCCAGGCUGUUGAAUGCAUAUGCUGAACCUAUACAAACUGAUCAUGACAGGAACAACGUUAUCAGUGAUUAUGACCCACCCCCUCCUUUGUUGAUAAUGGACUUCUACCAGCCAGAGGGUACAGUCAGAAGAGCCAAGGGCCUCUACAAGCCAUAGGGGUCAGCCAGAAGAGCCAAGAAAAAAGUUGUGGGUGGUCAAAAAUAAAGAUUGAGUGUUCAAACGAUCGAAGAGGCCAGCCACCGAUGUGAUUCCAAAACACAUAGUAUUCAGCCCAAAAAUGCAAAAGUUUGGCACGAAACCACUGAGCCACGGAAGGAGAUCUUUACUGGCCGCUACUGUUGAAGAUCAGGCAAGAUAUAACAAAGCUUCUCACUGGCCAAUCAACACGAUGCACCGGUUCAGGAGAAGCCGUCAUUGUGACAAACGUACUACCUAUGCAUGUGAGAAAUGCAAAGCGCCACUGCCUAUUGAGGGCUUCAAGAUAGUAGAAAAUGAGAUGAGAACGAAUGAAAAAAGGGCUGAAAAAGACAAAAGAAAAAUAGAAAAGUUGAUAAAGGGUGAGGAGGAGCAGAACAACGGACUAGGAAGAAAAUACAAGUUGACGAUCAAGACAAUCAAAAUUACUGAAAUGUUUUUGGAAAAGAAAGGUCAAUUGAUUCAAGACAUACUGUAUGACAGUAGAUAUACCAGGACUGACUGAUCAUAGUUCAAAACAGUGAUGCACAAACUAAUCUUGCACUUGGUUCUGAAGCCUACCUCAUAUAUAUAUAUAUAUAUAUAUAAAAGCACUCAUUGUGCAGUGGCACUUUUUAAAUAUAUAUAUUUAUAUAUAUUGUAUUUUGUUCAGUGUAGGCCUCUACAUGAAUGCAUAUUCUACAUAUUCUACUCUAUCCUAAAUGUUACCUUUAUGUUCAGUGGGAAUAAAUCACACGACUGCUUUACAGUUGUUAGUGAAUGUUGCACUAAAAUGUCACAAUGACAAUGUUACAUUGAAUAUUGCACUAAUGUACAAAUUCAAAUAUUACAAUAAAGUUACAAUAUUGUUUCAAUACAUGUUGCACUAAAGUAAAUGUUGAAAUGCAUUGGUUGUUUUUUUGUCUUUGCUCUCAGUAUUCAUAUCGUGUUGUAUAAGGGUUUUUGAUGUGUAAAAUAGUCAGACUUGAAUGUGACGGAGCAUUCUAGAGGCAAUGCUGGGGACUGCCAGUGACAGAGUAUUAAAUGUGUUAAUAACUGGGUUGGGAUUUCUAAGAUGUUUGAUAACUGCAUAGGAGAAAUAUGUUAAUUUUGUAAAUGUGACAAUUGUGACCGACCAUAAAAUACUUUUUCAUUCAAAUUUAAUAAAAUUGAUUACUUUA
Molecule: long non-coding RNA, 1555 nt
Organism: Oncorhynchus keta (chum salmon)
Lineage: Eukaryota; Metazoa; Chordata; Actinopteri; Salmoniformes; Salmonidae
Exons: 2
Source: RefSeq, a predicted model, not a curated record